This is a long non-coding RNA of Mus musculus (house mouse), 422 nucleotides long. RefSeq annotates it as predicted gene, 39854. The transcript has 3 exons. NCBI's taxonomy places the organism in Eukaryota, Metazoa, Chordata, Mammalia, Rodentia, Muridae. The record is from RefSeq and is a predicted model, not a curated record.
CUGGAAACGUGGAGGACAGACUUGGGUGCUGAGCAGAGUGUCCAAGGCAUUUCUACAUGUCUUAAGAACUACACAAAAGCAUCCAUUGAAAUGCCUGCCUAUAACCAAGCAUGCCCAUUCCGAGGAACAGGUGACAACCCCGGCUCUGCUUCCCUCCCCUCCUGAGACCUUACACUUAUGAAAGCCUUCCUGGCUGAUGAUGGGGCGGGCUUCGGAAGCUGUAUGUUGAGCGAUCCUUUUCUUCUACACAAUCAACUAAUGUGUUGAGGUCCUACUAUGUGCUACGCAUUGUUCUGGGUAUUUUGCUGACAGACUGAAGAGCCUGGUUUCACAUGCAGAAGGGGAGGAAGCUGUUCAACAUCAGAAACUGUUCAACAUCAAGCAUAAAAGGCAAGUUGUCUAGUGUCUUAGAAGAAAAGGUA